This is a long non-coding RNA of Oryzias melastigma (Indian medaka), 680 nucleotides long. RefSeq lists it as uncharacterized. The record is from RefSeq and is a predicted model, not a curated record. Lineage: Eukaryota; Metazoa; Chordata; Actinopteri; Beloniformes; Adrianichthyidae. The transcript has 2 exons.
UGUUCAAUAAAUGUUUAUUGUGUUCAGUCCGCGACCUAAGAUGUGUUUUGGGGUUAAGCCCCUUGUGAGAUUGACUUUGACACCCCUGUUCUAAAAUAUCCCUUUUUUUACCUUCUGUCAAUCAUUUGGUAGCAUUUCUUCAGCCAGCUGAUCCCAGGCAUCUUAUUUCGAGGAGUGGCGCCGUUCAUGUAGAUGAUCAGGUACAGAUUUCUGUUAGCCUCAUCACCUUCCCACUCCAGGUCGUUGCCAUUGGCGAUGAACUCCAGCGAGUCUGUGUCAUCCGGAGUGUCAAUGUCAUCCACGUUGAUGUCCAAGUCAUCUGGAGUGUCCAGGAAGUCAUCUGACAGCAGGGAGCCCUCGCUUUGGUCCAAGGACAAGUUCAUCUCCGGGGCGACCAGUGUGCGUCGUUUGCGGUGACUUGAGGACACGCCCCCUCCUCCAGGUGGAGUCACGUGCAGGGAGCUGGGAGGAGCUGCAGGGAGAGCACAAGCAGCUUCAGAUCAUGUGGUGCAGGAGGAGAAUGUUUAGUUUGAGGAGUUUGAGACGUACAGAUUCUGUUGUCCGUGAGUCCACAAGAGGGAUCCAUGUCUCCGUACUCAGGUAGAGGUCUGGAGGGAAAAACAGCCCAUAGGUGAGUGACCAGGUGUCAAAAGCAAUGACCUCAUUUUGAGUCUGUUUAA